Molecule: ribosomal RNA, 397 nt
Filed under: uncultured bacterium
Lineage: Bacteria
Description: partial 16S ribosomal RNA
Rfam family: Bacterial small subunit ribosomal RNA
Source: RNAcentral
AUACGUAGGGGGCGAGCGUUGUCCGGAAUGAUUGGGCGUAAAGGGCGCGUAGGCGGCCCGGUAAGUCUGGAGUGAAAGUCCUGUUUUUAAGAUGGGAAUUGCUUUGGAUACUGUCGGGCUUGAGUGCAGGAGAGGUAAGUGGAAUUCCCAGUGUAGCGGUGAAAUGCGUAGAGAUUGGGAGGAACACCAGUGGCGAAGGCGACUUACUGGACUGUAACUGACGCUGAGGCGCGAAAGUGUGGGGAUCGAACAGGAUUAGAUACCCCGGUAGUCCUGGCCGUAAACGAUGGGUACUAGGUGUGGGAGGUAUCGACUCCUUCCGUGCCGGAGUUAACACAAUAAGUACCCCGCCUGGGGAGUACGGCCGCAAGGCUUAAACUCAAAGGAAUUGACGGGG